UACGAGGGGGGCGAGCGUUGUUCGGAAUUAUUGGGCGUAAAGGGUGCGUAGGCGGUUCCGCAAGUCCUGUGUGAAAUCUUCGGGCUCAACUCGAAGUCUGCACGGGAAACUGCGGGGCUUGAGUGUGGGAGAGGUGAGUGGAAUUCCCGGUGUAGCGGUGAAAUGCGUAGAUAUCGGAAGGAACACCUGUGGCGAAAGCGGCUCACUGGACCAUUACUGACGCUGAUGCACGAAAGCUAGGGGAGCAAACAGG
RNAcentral lists this ribosomal RNA (253 nucleotides) under uncultured bacterium. RNAcentral's name for it is "partial 16S ribosomal RNA". It matches the Rfam family "Bacterial small subunit ribosomal RNA", at positions 524 to 776 of the family's 1533-position model. The record is from RNAcentral.